This 439-nucleotide ribosomal RNA is filed under the name uncultured bacterium. Its description in RNAcentral is "partial 16S ribosomal RNA". It matches the Rfam family "Bacterial small subunit ribosomal RNA", at positions 339 to 795 of the family's 1533-position model. The record is from RNAcentral.
CUACGGGGUGCUGCAGUGAGGAAUAUUGCACAAUGGGGGAAACCCUGAUGCAGCAACGCCGCGUGGAGGAUGACGCAUUUCGGUGUGUAAACUCCUUUUAUAUGUCAAGAAAAUGACGGUAGCAUAUGAAUAAGCACCGGCUAACUCCGUGCCAGCAGCCGCGGUAAUACGGAGGGUGCAAGCGUUACUCGGAAUCACUGGGCGGAAAGGACGCGUAGGCGGGUUGGCAAGUCAGGUGUGAAAUCCUACAGCUUAACUGUAGAACUGCACUUGAAACUGGCAGCCUAGAGUAUGGGAGGGGGAGAUGGAAUUAGUAGUGUAGGGGUAAAAUCCGUAGAUAUUACUAGGAAUAUCAAAAGCGAAGGCGAUCUCCUGGAACAUUACUGACGCUAAGGCGUGAAAGCGUGGGGAGCAAACAGGAUUAGAUACCCCCGUAGUC